UGUUAGUGUUUAGGAAAGCUUGAAUGAUGUUUAUGGAUGGAUUCUAGGCACUUGGUUUGAUUUAAAAGGUUCAAAACUUGAAAAUGGGAUCUCUGUUUUUGAAGGAAGAACUCAGUUUUGCAGCAGGGUGUUUUGGAUAUUCAAGCUUGGUUUCAGAGUGGAAAACCUUCCCCUAUUUAUAGGGAAGGUGUUGGGACUGUUAGGUGAAAGAAUGGGAAUGGUUUUAUCAUAAAUCACAAGUGAUAUGAAGCAUGAUUGAGAAUUAGAUUUUUG
RNAcentral lists this long non-coding RNA (273 nucleotides) under Lathyrus oleraceus (garden pea). RNAcentral describes it as "Pisum sativum (pea) long non-coding RNA (PSAT_LNC026202)". The record is from RNAcentral. Lineage: Eukaryota; Viridiplantae; Streptophyta; Magnoliopsida; Fabales; Fabaceae.